AAAGGUAAGCUACUAAGAGCGAAUGGUGGAUGCCUUGACUGGUAGAGGCGAUGAAGGACGUACUAGACUGCGAUAAGCUAGGUGGAGCUGUCAAGAAGCUUUGAUGCCUAGAUUUCCGAAUGGGGCAACCCAGUAUAUAGAGAUAUAUACUACCAUAAUGGAGCGAACGAGGGGAAUUGAAACAUCUUAGUACCCUCAGGAAAAGAAAUCAAACGAGAUUGCGUCAGUAGCGGCGAGCGAAAGCGUAAGAGGGCAAACCCAGUGCUUGCACUGGGGGUUGUAGGACUGCAAUGUGCAAGAGGAAAGGUUAGCAGAACACUCUGGAAAGUGUAGCCAUAGAGGGUGAUAGUCCCGUAUGCAAAAACCUAACCUUAGCUAGCAGUAUCCUGAGUAGGGCGGGACACGAGAAAUCCUGUCUGAAGCUGGGUAGAC
RNAcentral lists this ribosomal RNA (432 nucleotides) under Campylobacter upsaliensis. RNAcentral's name for it is "partial 23S ribosomal RNA". It matches the Rfam family "Bacterial large subunit ribosomal RNA", at positions 1 to 453 of the family's 2925-position model. Lineage: Bacteria; Pseudomonadati; Campylobacterota; Epsilonproteobacteria; Campylobacterales; Campylobacteraceae. The record is from RNAcentral.